UCCUGGCUCAGGAUGAACGCUAGCGACAGGCUUAACACAUGCAAGUCGAGGGGCAUCACGGGAGUAGCAAUACAACUGGUGGCGACCGGCGCACGGGUGAGUAACGCGUAUGCAACCUACCUAUCAGAGGGGAAUAACCCGGCGAAAGUCGGACUAAUACCGCAUAAAACAGGGGCACCGCAUGGUGAUAUUUGUUAAAGAAAUUCGCUGAUAGAUGGGCAUGCGUUCCAUUAGGUAGUUGGUGAGGUAACGGCUCACCAAGCCGACGAUGGAUAGGGGAACUGAGAGGUUGGUCCCCCACACUGGUACUGAGACACGGACCAGACUCCUACGGGAGGCAGCAGUGAGGAAUAUUGGUCAAUGGGCGGGAGCCUGAACCAGCCAAGUCGCGUGAAGGAAGAAGGAUCUAUGGUUCGUAAACUUCUUUUGCAGGGGAAUAAAGUGCAGGACGUGUCCUGUUUUGUAUGUACCCUGAGAAUAAGGAUCGGCUAACUCCGUGCCAGCCGCCGC
Molecule: ribosomal RNA, 510 nt
Filed under: uncultured bacterium
Lineage: Bacteria
Description: bacterial SSU rRNA
Rfam family: Bacterial small subunit ribosomal RNA
Source: RNAcentral